UGACGAGCGGCGGACGGGUGAGUAAUGCAUAGGAAACUGCCCAGUAGUGGGGGAUAGCCCGGGGAAACCCGGAUUAAUACCGCGUACGCCCUUCGGGGGAAAGCAGGGGAUCUUCGGACCUUGCGCUAUUGGAUGUGCCUAUGUCGGAUUAGCUAGUUGGUGGGGUAAAGGCCUACCAAGGCGACGAUCCGUAGCUGGUCUGAGAGGAUGAUCAGCCACAUCGGGACUGAGACACGGCCCGAACUCCUACGGGAGGCAGCAGUGGGGAAUAUUGGACAAUGGGGGCAACCCUGAUCCAGCCAUGCCGCGUGUGUGAAGAAGGCUUUCGGGUUGUAAAGCACUUUCAGUGAGGAGGAAAAGUUGGUCGUUAAUACCGGCCAGCCUUGACGUUACUCACAGAAGAAGCACCGGCUAACUCCGUGCCAGCAGCCGCGGUAAUACGGAGGGUGCAAGCGUUAAUCGGAAUUACUGGGCGU
Molecule: ribosomal RNA, 476 nt
Filed under: marine sediment bacterium BB0608_AND_1.1_4S0
Lineage: Bacteria
Description: bacterial SSU rRNA
Rfam family: Bacterial small subunit ribosomal RNA
Source: RNAcentral